GCUGGUGUGGCUCAGUGGAUAGAGCAUCAGCCUGCAGACUGAAAGGUCCCGGGUUCGAUUCCGGUCAAGGGCA
Molecule: transfer RNA, 73 nt
Filed under: Myotis lucifugus (little brown bat)
Lineage: Eukaryota; Metazoa; Chordata; Mammalia; Chiroptera; Vespertilionidae
Rfam family: tRNA
About the family: Transfer RNA (tRNA) molecules are approximately 80 nucleotides in length. Their secondary structure includes four short double-helical elements and three loops (D, anti-codon, and T loops). Further hydrogen bonds mediate the characteristic L-shaped molecular structure. tRNAs have two regions of fundamental functional importance: the anti-codon, which is responsible for specific mRNA codon recognition, and the 3' end, to which the tRNAs corresponding amino acid is attached (by aminoacyl-tRNA synthetases). tRNAs cope with the degeneracy of the genetic code in two manners: having more than one tRNA (with a specific anti-codon) for a particular amino acid; and 'wobble' base-pairing, i.e. permitting non-standard base-pairing at the 3rd anti-codon position.
Source: Rfam by way of RNAcentral